Molecule: ribosomal RNA, 542 nt
Filed under: Pseudochydorus globosus
Lineage: Eukaryota; Metazoa; Arthropoda; Branchiopoda; Diplostraca; Chydoridae
Description: partial 12S ribosomal RNA
Source: RNAcentral
GAAAAGUGAAAAUUGAGUUGAUAAUUUAAAUAUGCUUAAUGGUUUAAUUUGAAUAGUUUGAUAGUAAAAACUAUAAAGGUGAAAUUUAUUUAUUUUUAUAAUAAAGACUAAUUGAAUUUAAUAGAUUCAUGAAAUUUGAUUAUUAAACUAGGAUUAGAUACCCUAUUAUUUUAAAUGAAAGUUUAUUUGGGUAGUAAAAGUAAUUCUUCAAACCCACAGAUCUUGGCGGUAUUUUAUGUAAACAGAGGAAUUUGCCUAGUAAUUGAUAAGCCUCGUUUGAUCUUUCUUUUCUUAUUUAGUUUGUGUACUGCCGUUGUCAGAUUACUUUUGAAAAUAGAAAUCGGAAUAAAGAGUUUUAUAACUUCAGGUCAAAGUGCAACUUAUGGAAAAGUUUUUUGGUGAGUUACAAUAAUUUUUAAUUAGACGAAUUAAAAUUGAAACUAUUUUAGGAAGGUGGAUUUGUUAGUAAGUUUACUUAAUGAAAGUGAAUUGAAGCAUCCUCUAAAAUAUGCACACAUCGCCCGUCGCCCUCUUUUUAAAAA